AUGAUCAUCGCCGAAAUCGAUGCACAGAUGACCGGCACCAGGGAGGAGUUCGACAGCGAGGCGGUGAUCUGUGCUGCCAUGGUCAAUGAACAAGCCCAACGAGGUGGGAGACCACGCUACUCAUCGUCACUGAUAAAGGGUUCAUCAACAUCGUCGUCGGGUUGCUCAAGCACUCUGACAAGGAGAGCCUUGCGAGAAAGAACAAAUCAGGAUUCAAUGCCCUGCACAUCACUGCAAAGGAAGGCCACGGAGACCCUACUUGUGCCAUUGUGUGUUCCUCCACUUCUGGCCUCCUCCAUUACCAGUGACUAA
This 312-nucleotide ribosomal RNA is filed under the name Triticum aestivum (bread wheat). RNAcentral describes it as "partial small subunit ribosomal RNA". Lineage: Eukaryota; Viridiplantae; Streptophyta; Magnoliopsida; Poales; Poaceae. The record is from RNAcentral.